This is a small nuclear RNA of Rhipicephalus microplus (southern cattle tick), 193 nucleotides long. RefSeq annotates it as U2 spliceosomal RNA. NCBI's taxonomy places the organism in Eukaryota, Metazoa, Arthropoda, Arachnida, Ixodida, Ixodidae. The record is from RefSeq and is a predicted model, not a curated record.
ACUUCUUCACGUACGGCAUAUGAAACAUGAAUAAAACCUAUCUGUUCUUAUAAGCUUAUUGUCUGAUACGGAUCCUAUUUGGAUCCAAGAUAUUAAACUUAUUUUUGCAUUGUGGCGGAGUUCUUGAAGCUUGCUUCAGCUCCACAACAGGUUGGCUCGGUAUUGCACUACCUCCGGGAUCGACCCACUCACC